Molecule: ribosomal RNA, 242 nt
Filed under: Scyphosphaera apsteinii
Lineage: Eukaryota; Haptophyta; Coccosphaerales; Pontosphaeraceae
Description: partial Bacterial small subunit ribosomal RNA
Rfam family: Bacterial small subunit ribosomal RNA
Source: RNAcentral
CACAUGCAAGUCGAACGGUAACAGGAAUUAGCUUGCUAAUUUGCUGACGAGUGGCGCACGGGUGCGUAACGCGUAUGCAACUUACCUCUAACAGGAGGAUAGCCUUUCGAAAGGAAGAAUAAUACUCCAUAAUAUUUAUUAGUGGCAUCAUUAAUUUAUUAAAACUACGGUGGUUAGAGAUAGGCAUGCGUCCUAUUAGCUAGUUGGUGAGGUAACAGCUCACCAAGGCGAUGAUAGGUAGG